UACGUAGGGGGCAAGCGUUGUCCGGAUUUAUUGGGCGUAAAGAGCGUGUAGGCGGCUUUACAGGUCCGUUGUGAAAACUCGAGGCUCAACCUCGAGACGCCGGUGGAAACCGUAAAGCUAGAGCCCGGUAGAGGAGAGUGGAAUUCCUGGUGUAGCGGUGAAAUGCGCAGAUAUCAGGAGGAACACCCGUGGCGAAAGCGGCUCUCUGGGACGGUACUGACGCUGAGACGCGAAAGCGUGGGGAGCAAACAGG
RNAcentral lists this ribosomal RNA (253 nucleotides) under uncultured bacterium. RNAcentral's name for it is "partial 16S ribosomal RNA". It matches the Rfam family "Bacterial small subunit ribosomal RNA", at positions 524 to 776 of the family's 1533-position model. The record is from RNAcentral.